CAAUAGCGUAUAUUUAAGUUGUUGCAGUUAAAAAGCUCGUAGUCGGAUUUUGGCUGAGAACGAACGGUCCGCCGUUAGGUGUGCACUGUUUGGUCUCAGCUUCCUGGUGAGGAGGUGUGCUUCACGGCCACUUAGUCACCGUGGUUACUUUGAAAAAAUUAGAGUGUUCAAAGCGGGCUUACGCUUGAAUAUAUUAGCAUGGAAUAACACCAUAGGACUCCUGUCCUAUUUCGUUGGUCUCGGGACGGGAGUAAUGAUUAAGAGGAACAGUUGGGGGCAUUCGUAUUUCAUUGUCAGAGGUGAAAUUCUCGGAUUUAUGAAAGACGAACUUCUGCGAAAGCAUUUGCCAAGGAUGUUUUCAUUGA
Molecule: ribosomal RNA, 365 nt
Filed under: uncultured eukaryote
Lineage: Eukaryota
Description: partial 18S ribosomal RNA
Rfam family: Eukaryotic small subunit ribosomal RNA
Source: RNAcentral